GAUGAACGCUGGCGGCGUGCCUAAUACAUGCAAGUCGAGCGAACAGACGAGGAGCUUGCUCCUCUGACGUUAGCGGCGGACGGGUGAGUAACACGUGGAUAACCUACCUAUAAGACUGGGAUAACUUCGGGAAACCGGAGCUAAUACCGGAUAAUAUAUUGAACCGCAUGGUUCAAUAGUGAAAGACGGUUUUGCUGUCACUUAUAGAUGGAUCCGCGCCGCAUUAGCUAGUUGGUAAGGUAACGGCUUACCAAGGCAACGAUGCGUAGCCGACCUGAGAGGGUGAUCAGCCACACUGGAACUGAGACACGGUCCAGACUCCUACGGGAGGCAGCAGUAGGGAAUCUUCCGCAAUGGGCGAUAGCCUGACGGAGCAACGCCGCGUGAGUGAUGAAGGUCUUCGGAUCGUAAAACUCUGUUAUUAGGGAAGAACAAAUGUGUAAGUAACUAUGCACGUCUUGACGGUACCUAAUCAGAAAGCCACGGCUAACUACGUG
RNAcentral lists this ribosomal RNA (497 nucleotides) under uncultured bacterium. RNAcentral describes it as "partial 16S ribosomal RNA". It matches the Rfam family "Bacterial small subunit ribosomal RNA", at positions 28 to 507 of the family's 1533-position model. The record is from RNAcentral.